AUCCAGCUCAUGAGUCCCAAAUAAGACGAAAUGCGUGUUCUGGAU
This is a non-coding RNA of Schistosoma rodhaini, 45 nucleotides long. NCBI's taxonomy places the organism in Eukaryota, Metazoa, Platyhelminthes, Trematoda, Strigeidida, Schistosomatidae. The record is from Rfam.